AGUAUUAUCGAAGCGGAUAAUGAGCUCUGAAGAAUAUGUGGAAAGAAUCCGUGACCAGUCUUGGGUUUCAAACAGUAUUCGAGAUUGAAGAGUAACGGAUCAAUUCCGGCAAUUCAUAUUUCCGGUUGUGAUGAAGCGAUAGGAUGAAGAAAGAAGAUGGGAUUCGUCUUCGUCGAUGAUAUUUGAUUUCCAUGUUUCACAAAGAAUAUCCUCUUUAAAUGGUAUCAAGGCAUUUCAACAACGAUUCCUCGGAAAUAUUAAUUUAUACAUAAUCGAUGAAACGUUCCUCCACCUCCAAUCGUUCAAUACUUUUUUCCCAAAUGUUGUUAAAGUAAUUAAAUGAAAUCAAAGAUCGAUAAAACAUAGAAAUACGUGAAUUAAAGUUCAAAAUUGUGGACGUAAAUCGGUGAAAAUUACUUCGAACGAUUACUACCAUCGCUUAUUAUAGCUGACGUAAUUCAUGGGCUAUGUUUCACUCGCGACAACAACAACAAUAACAACAACACGAGUUAGAAGCCUCCACACGCUCUGUUACCAGCAUGUUUAUAAUCUUUUAUUACCAUUGGAUGAUCGGUUCUCGGUCGAGCUUAGAUGCUAAUUUGUUUAAAUUUGCAUCUUUAUCAUCGUGAACAUAAUAAACUGAAGAAAUAUUGGUAAUAGUUGUCUUUUGAUUUUUCAUUCACUGUAAUAAUGCGAUGAAUUCAUUUUUUUAUUAUUGUGCACAAUACAAAGCAUGAAUUAUGGCGAAUGAAUCGUUUGCAUUUUUUGCUUGUGCAAUUAUAUAAUUGCAACGCUCAUUUUAAAUCGAUUAAUAAUCCUCGAAACGAGGGACACGUAGUAAAAAAAUUAUUUCUCUGAAAUCGCAACGAGGCUUGGAAGGCUUGAUUAAUUGUAAUAUGAUCAACAUCAUUUUGUUAGCUCAUGAUUGAUUCGCCAAAAUCAAGAACUUGAUUAGAUUGUUAAAGAAGAUUCGAGAAGGAACAUUUAUUGCGCGAAAGGAAAUGUACAGUGAUCUAAAUCAAUCGAAGCCGGCUAAUCCUUAUUUUCUAAAUCUGUGAAACAGCGGAGAAUUCCAUUGAAAUCUCUUCGACCAUCAUCGAUCAAGCGUAAUUGGGGAAAAAACGAAGCGGAGAACGUUGGAGGAAGCAAGGGAUCGAUUAGUCUGUGAUUGAGUUACAGGAAGGCAGUCGUUUAUUGGCAUAAUCGAUACCUUACUGGGUCUAAUAAAUACAUCCUUGGGAAACCUCGAGCUCGGUAUAUUCUCUCGACAAGGUUUUUUUUUUCUUUCUUUCUUUCUCUUUCGCGAAAUCCAUGAUUCGAAGAGGAAAAAUCAUGUUAACACCAACGUUGGAUUAUCCUCAUUUCGAGGCAUAAUCGACGUUCAAAGGUUGUCAUCUGGUUAAACAUGGUCUCGUAUCGACAACAUUUAUACGUAUUUUACGUACGAUAUAUUAGCAUCGAUAUUUAAAAAUAACGAAAGAAGAAGAGACUUAAAAAUUAUGAGAAGGAAUAAGUUGUAUAUAUCGGGUUGAAAAAAUUCGAAUAGAGAGAGAAAAAAAAAAAAGAAAGAAAGAAAGGAGAAAAUAAUAAUAAAUAAAAGACGACGAUUAAAAGUUGUCGCGGUGUCGUUCCAUCGAUAUUUCGUUAUCAAUCGCAAAAGAAAAGAACAGUGGCAAUAGAUUAUCAGUGAAUAACCAUCUCAUUGCCACCGUAUACGCAGCGCACAAACGACGUAUGAUCGUCGACUGAUCGGCAAAACAUUCACGCCGACAAUCUCGCCGCUGUCGAGGCAUGCAGAGGAAUGUUGAUGCUGUGCUGUCAUCGAUAAGUGGACACGCAUUUAUAUUUAAACUACAUGUAAUAAUAUGAAUACGUCGAUGUUGGUCUGACGUCGUUCAUAUGCUAUUAACCUUUUUGCCACUGGACGCGUAUGUACAUACAUACAUAUGUAUAGCUGCAUGUAUACCUCGUUAAACAUCGACUAACCAUUUGCUAAAAAACGUGCAAAUAUUUUCCAUAAAAU
This is a long non-coding RNA of Apis laboriosa (Himalayan honeybee), 2023 nucleotides long. RefSeq lists it as uncharacterized. Lineage: Eukaryota; Metazoa; Arthropoda; Insecta; Hymenoptera; Apidae. The record is from RefSeq and is a predicted model, not a curated record. The transcript has 3 exons.